GAGAAGGGGAGGUGACAGUGGGAUGACAGACAGGAUGACAGGUGGAUGAGAAGGGGAGGUGAACAGUGGGAUGACAGACAGGAUGACAGGUGGAUGAGAAGGGGAAGUGACAGUGGGAUGACAGACAGGAUGACAGGUGGAUGAGAAGGGGAAGUGACAGUGGGAUGACAGACAGGAUGACAGGUGGAUGAGAAGGGGAGGUGACAGUGGGAUGACAGACAGGAUGACAGGUGGAUGAGAAGGGGAAGUGACAGUGGGAUGACAGACAGGAUGACAGGUGGAUGAGAGGGGAGGUGACAGUGGG
Non-coding RNA from Salmo salar (Atlantic salmon), 304 nucleotides. The record is from RefSeq and is a predicted model, not a curated record. Lineage: Eukaryota; Metazoa; Chordata; Actinopteri; Salmoniformes; Salmonidae.